UAAAUUGGCCAGUUUUCCAAGAUAUUUCAGAGGAUGAGUUGUGCCUGCCAGAGACUGUGCUAUUUUGUGUGCCUUAAAGUGGGUUAAUUCUGAUUGGACAGAGCAGUGACCUGUCUGGACCCAGUGCCCACACCCCACCCCCACCCUGCAACGAGGUGGAUGCCAAGGCCAAGCAGCGGUAGGACACCGGGAACUCACUGGCAUUUAACAUCCAUGGCUUUCUGAUGAUUGAAACUACAGCUGAUGCUGAGCCUCACUUCUGCUCCCAUUUCAGCCCCGACCUAUUUUUAGGGCAAAGAACUUGAGACUUUAUAUUGGAAGUUAAAUUUAGUGAGGGUGAAAUAGGGAGCUCAUGGAAACUCUCUUCCCAUUCAAAACACAUUGUCAGGCUUGGAGAAAAUGCAAAAAGAACAUAAAGAAGUGACAGUGAAGAGAAGAAAAAAGAGGACCAGUUGGAAGGCUAGAUCUGAUCCUUGGCUGAAUUCCAUUUGGCCGGUGAGACAAGCUCUCAGAUCUGACUUGAUUUAGGGCUGCAACAAUGAAGAUGCAAUAAAGUAUUGCAGACACUUAAUGGCAAUGCUCUAUAUUAAAAGAUGAAGACAGGAUGGUUUAUGCUUCCCCAAGAGUAGACAGGGCACUUCAAAAAGAGGAAAUAGUCAGUGUGACUCACGUUUCCCAGACUCUGCCCCGUAGGAGCACAGACAAGGGGCGGGGACAGGAACACGCUUCUGACUUACUGCUCCCUCAGGGCUCACCUCCAAGAUGCCAGGGUGCCUUGCUUCACCAGCUCGGGGUAAAAUUAUUAUUCAGAUCCGCCUCUAAGUCAUCUACCACUUGAAUGCAUUUUCUUCUCUCCACGGUGGCCCUCCCCCCGUGAUAAAUCCCCAGACUCAGAGGUUGUCUUAGUUCAAAGAGCCAGAUUUGCUUUAUCUUGGCUGGAGUCAGAAUUUAGCUUCAUCCCCAGGAGGCUAGAAGAUAACUACUACUUACUAGGUACAGAUUGGUCCCUGCUAAAGGCAGUCUGGGCUCCCAACAAGGUCAUUUUUGUUACUCGGGUCUCAGUUUACAAACACACACACACACUCACUCUCUCUUCACUGUGCCCAGAGUAGCCCCUUCCUGAUAGAAUUCAGGCGGUGCUGCGGCCCCUGGUGACCAGCAUAACCUCCUCUUCCCCAGCCUCCCCUGCCUCCCUUUCCACCAAGGUGAUCCCCCUGGGGUCCCCCUAGUCAAGUCUUUUGAUCAUCUGACCUCAGCGAGACACCCUGUCCCCCUGGAUGUUUUGUAAUGUUGGCUGACUUCCAAAGGGACGGGGUGAGGGGCGCUGCUGCGUCUGGCUUUUCAGGAGGCUCCGUGGAUUUUAUGCAAAUUUGUGAACCUCUGCACCGGAACCUUUAAGAUCCAUCUACCGAAACGAAUUACACCCUUUCAAUGGAGCAGCGGAUGCCUGUCUGCCGUGAGCUGCAUGAAAUAAGAGGCCAUGCAAAGGCUUCUAGAAGACCUGCUCCAAGAUGACGUGCUGCCUCCACCAUUUGGUCCCUGCUGUGCUCCUCCAGGGUCUUGCCAGUCUGGGAGAGAGGAGGUGUGACGGAUAACCGGCAUGGCCCUGCCAGGGGAGCUGCUGCUAACAGGGAACCAGGGGCCUCUUGCCGGCAGCUGCCCUUGAAGGCUGGGCCAGAUGCCAGACCUCACCAACCAAGUCACAGGCACCGUCCUGGUGUUCCUGCUGAUGUACCCGGAUUUAAAUCCUCCACCUCCGGGGGUGGGGGCACUCGACAGCAAGCCCCCUGGUGUGACUCUUUCUUCCAAAGCAAAUUCAAGGCGCUGUUUCUGGGAGGUGGAAGAUGACUCAAUAAACAGCACUCCUCUCUCUCUCAUCCCUUACUUGUGUCAACCAACUAAAAAAGAAGAGCGGUAGCAUAAAGAACCCACAACAUCACUUAUUUCAUUUCUGGUGAGGCCGAUGAAGCAUGUGACUUAUGUUAAUGGACAAGCAGAACUCCUGUUGCCAAACCCCAGAGUAAGACUUGCCCACUCAGUCAUGGAAAGACCUGAGUCAUUGCAGCCUCCUCACCUGGCAGCCUGUCCUUAUGGAGUAGAAUGACUGUCCUUUACUGGAUGUUUGCACCCAAGGAAAGAAAGAAAGAUGGGGCCAGGCUCCUUAUUCCUAGAUCACUUGUCAGAAUAAUCACUUCUGCUCCACCAGGGAAGACCUGUUCUCACACAGCCCCUCUGACUUGCCUCAUGCAAUCCCAGCCCUAUCAAAUCCUGUCUUUAGUUAAAAUUUUGGUAUUUUUUUAUCACAAGUUUUUUCAUUAACUAUACAUUUUUUGAAUAUUGCAUUAAGAUAUUAUUCAUCUUGAUUCCUAAGGUUUUUAGCUCCCCCUUAAGUUUUACACCUGAAAGAAAUGACUUACCCACCUCACCCUAGGCUCAGACCUGAUUUUAAA
Molecule: long non-coding RNA, 2450 nt
Organism: Phacochoerus africanus (Common warthog)
Lineage: Eukaryota; Metazoa; Chordata; Mammalia; Artiodactyla; Suidae
Exons: 3
Source: RefSeq, a predicted model, not a curated record